GACGAACGCUGGCGGCGUGCUUAACACAUGCAAGUCGAACGAAGUGGCGGACGGGUGAGUAACGAGUAAUCAACCUGCCCUUCAGAGGGGGACAACAGUUGGAACCGACUGCUAAUACAGCAUACUGAAGGACGGGGUUGUGGUUGAUGAGCUAGGGGGAGGGGUAACGGCCGACCAAGGCGAUGAUCAGUAGCCGGUCUGAGAGGAUGAACGGCCACAUUGGGAACGAGACACGGCCCAGACUCCUACGGGAGGCAUCAGUGGGGAAUCUUCCGCAAUGGACGAAAGUCUGACGGAGCAACGCCGCGUGAGUGAUGACGGCCUUCGGGUUGGAAAGCUCUGUUAAUCGGGACGCGGUACCGGAAUAGAAAGCCACGGCUAACUACGUGCCAGCCGCCGCGGUAAUAC
RNAcentral lists this ribosomal RNA (408 nucleotides) under uncultured bacterium. RNAcentral's name for it is "partial 16S ribosomal RNA". It matches the Rfam family "Bacterial small subunit ribosomal RNA", at positions 28 to 526 of the family's 1533-position model. The record is from RNAcentral.